GCGCGCGCGCGCGUGUGUGUGUGUGUGUGUGUGUGUGUGUGUGCUCUGCCCCCCCCCGCCAUCCCAAUGCACUCACCCCUCCUCAG
Molecule: microRNA precursor, 86 nt
Filed under: Pelodiscus sinensis (Chinese soft-shelled turtle)
Lineage: Eukaryota; Metazoa; Chordata; Testudines; Trionychidae
Description: miRNA (ENSPSIG00000019500.1)
Source: RNAcentral